This 72-nucleotide transfer RNA is filed under the name Bos taurus (domestic cattle). It matches the Rfam family "tRNA". From Rfam's summary of the family: Transfer RNA (tRNA) molecules are approximately 80 nucleotides in length. RNAcentral also lists the same sequence under 1 other name. The record is from Rfam by way of RNAcentral. Lineage: Eukaryota; Metazoa; Chordata; Mammalia; Artiodactyla; Bovidae.
UCCCAGAUGGCUCAGAGUUAAAGAAUCUGCCUGCCAGUGCAGGAAACAUAGGUUCAAUCCCUGAUCUGGGAA